Molecule: long non-coding RNA, 226 nt
Organism: Vigna radiata var. radiata (mung bean)
Lineage: Eukaryota; Viridiplantae; Streptophyta; Magnoliopsida; Fabales; Fabaceae
Exons: 3
Source: RefSeq, a predicted model, not a curated record
UUCAAACAACCAAAGGAAUCUGGAUGGCUAGAUGCAAUGGCAUAGAGCCUUGUACACUUGUUAUGGAUUUGGAGGGUACUGAUGGAAGAGAACGUGGAAAGGAUGACACUGCUUUUGAAAAGCAGAGUGCUUUACUUGCUCUUGCUGUAUCAGAUAUUGUGUUAAUAAACAUGUGGUGCCAUGACAUUGGCCGUGAGCAAGCUGCAAAUAAGCAACUUUUAAAAAC